RNAcentral lists this long non-coding RNA (917 nucleotides) under Phascolarctos cinereus (koala). RNAcentral's name for it is "lncRNA (ENSPCIG00000001218.2)". The record is from RNAcentral. Lineage: Eukaryota; Metazoa; Chordata; Mammalia; Diprotodontia; Phascolarctidae.
AUUGCUUUUCAGCAUUAUUUACUGCAAAAUAAUGCCCAUGUUUAAACAGUAUAUUUUAUUCUUUUCCCCCAGACAGGAAAACUCCAGUUUCCUGCUUUAAUGUGCUAAGGAUUGCUUGUCUUUUCCUAAUUAAGGAGAGCCUGCUGAGAGAGUUUCCGACAAUCACAAUGGGGAACGAGAACAGCACCUCUGACAACCAGGGGGUGUCACCGAUUCCUGCAGCAGAAGCAGCACAGUCUCCUGGAAAUAAUUAUGAUAUAAAGCAGAAACAGGGGAAGACAACUGGAAACACUGGUAAAGGCAGUUACUCCCCUGGUGUCUGGCCAGCUACUGCUGUGCCCCAUGCUGAAACUACACCGGCGUUACUGAGCAGUGACACCAGGUAGGAAUACAUUUUUAAGAAAGCCAUAGUCAUGGUGUGGUCUGGCAUCUGACAGCCUGGAUGCUUGCUGCUUAGAUGAACCAAACCAACACCAGACAACCCAUAGAAAAGAGAUGAAAACCUCACUGCCCUUCACUUCUCUCUUUAGGAUCAACUGGUGCCAGGGUAUUAGAAAAUGCAAGGCAAAUAAGCACUUAAUAAGUGCAUACACUGUGCUGGGCCCUAGGGCUACAAAGAUAAAAGGAAAAGCAGUCCAGAGAGGCAGCUAGGUGGCAACCUGAGUUCAAAUCCAGCCUCAGACACUUGACACUAGCUGUGUGUGUGACCCUGGGCAAGUCACUACACCGAUUGUCCCAGAAAGAAAGAAAGAAAGAAAGAAAGAAAGAAAGAAAGAAAGAAAGAAAGAAAGAAAGAAAGAAAGAAAGAAAGAAAGAAAAAGAGUUGAGGCCCUCAGGGAGAAUAUAGUCUGCUAGAAGGGAGUGUCUUCUUCUAGCCAUCUAAUAAAUGUGCUAACUAUAGGCUCUUAUUCCCCGCA